This 73-nucleotide transfer RNA is filed under the name Candidatus Woesearchaeota archaeon. RNAcentral describes it as "tRNA-Gln". It matches the Rfam family "tRNA". From Rfam's summary of the family: Transfer RNA (tRNA) molecules are approximately 80 nucleotides in length. Their secondary structure includes four short double-helical elements and three loops (D, anti-codon, and T loops). Further hydrogen bonds mediate the characteristic L-shaped molecular structure. tRNAs have two regions of fundamental functional importance: the anti-codon, which is responsible for specific mRNA codon recognition, and the 3' end, to which the tRNAs corresponding amino acid is attached (by aminoacyl-tRNA synthetases). tRNAs cope with the degeneracy of the genetic code in two manners: having more than one tRNA (with a specific anti-codon) for a particular amino acid; and 'wobble' base-pairing, i.e. permitting non-standard base-pairing at the 3rd anti-codon position. The record is from RNAcentral. Lineage: Archaea; Nanobdellati; Candidatus Woesearchaeota.
AGCCCCGUAGUCUAGCGGUCAAGGAUAUCGGCUUUUGGAGCCGACGGCCCAGGUUCGAAUCCUGGCGGGGCUA